Molecule: unclassified non-coding RNA, 253 nt
Filed under: uncultured Alteromonadales bacterium
Lineage: Bacteria; Pseudomonadati; Pseudomonadota; Gammaproteobacteria; Alteromonadales
Description: contains 16S-23S intergenic spacer region
Rfam family: Bacterial small subunit ribosomal RNA
Source: RNAcentral
UACAGAGGGUGCAAGCGUUAAUCGGAAUUACUGGGCGUAAAGCGCGCGUAGGCGGUUUGAUAAGCGGGAUGUGAAAGCCCUGGGCUUAACCUGGGAACGGCAUUCCGAACUGUCAGGCUAGAGUAUGGUAGAGGGUAGUGGAAUUUCCUGUGUAGCGGUGAAAUGCGUAGAUAUAGGAAGGAACACCAGUGGCGAAGGCGGCUACCUGGACCAAUACUGACGCUGAGGUGCGAAAGCGUGGGGAGCAAACAGG